GAUGAACGCUGGCGGCGUGCUUAACACAUGCAAGUCGAACGGGGAACAAAUUAUUGAAGCUUCGGCAGAUCUAGCUUGUUCCUAGUGGCGGACGGGUGAGUAACGCGUGGGUAACCUGCCUCACACUGGGGGAUAACAGUCAGAAAUGGCUGCUAAUACCGCAUAAGCGCACAGUACCGCAUGGUACAGUGUGAAAAACUCCGGUGGUGUGAGAUGGACCCGCGUUGGAUUAGCUAGUUGGCAGGGCAGCGGCCUACCAAGGCGACGAUCCAUAGCCGGCCUGAGAGGGUGAACGGCCACAUUGGGACUGAGACACGGCCCAGACUCCUACGGGAGGCAGCAGUGGGGAAUAUUGCACAAUGGGGGAAACCCUGAUGCAGCGACGCCGCGUGAAGGAAGAAAUAUCUCGGUAUGUAAACUUCUAUCAGCAGGGAAGAAAAUGACGGUACCUGACUAGAGCCCCGAWWMYYG
Molecule: ribosomal RNA, 471 nt
Filed under: uncultured bacterium
Lineage: Bacteria
Description: bacterial SSU rRNA
Rfam family: Bacterial small subunit ribosomal RNA
Source: RNAcentral